UUCUGUGCAUGCACAGAAUCUGGGCCCAGGUGACUUAUGGAACCUUUAUAGAGACCAAGGUGACUGACAUUCAUGGGAAAGGGGGUAGAGGGGCAAUAACUGACUGUUCGUCAAAAAUUAUUAGACGAGUGUGUCCACGACACCAGGAGAUAUGUUGAAUCAUGGACAGGUACCAGCAUAUCCACUAAGCUCUAUAUAUGUUGAUGGUGCAAGAUCCAAGUGGGAUGGAACAACAAAUUCCUGCUCAUCCUCCUGCUCAAUAAUACAUGUGCUCAGAAUCUGUUCAUAAUGCAUGGUGAGAUGGGAUCUCACUGUGCUGCCCAGGCUGGUCUCGAACUGCUGGACUCAAGUAAUCCUCCCAUCUUGGCCUCCCAAAGUGCUGGGAUUAUAGUGGACAACCUUGAAUGCACUGGUACUUUGUACCCUGACCUCUACUGUAAUGAAAACUCAACUUGGGCAAGGAAGUGAAAUUCUCCAAAGUGGGUUCUGACCCAAUCAGCAGCCUUUGCUUCUCAGAUUCUUCUCAGGGCUUUAUGACUCUUCUCACCCCAGGAAACCCUACAACACGCACAGCCUUCCAGAACUGCUACACGGAAUGGACAUUCCUCUGGGCUCCAACUGAAUGUUUGUAAACAAAAUAAUGACUGCGCGUCCUUAUUUUUGCGGAGUACACAG
Molecule: non-coding RNA, 675 nt
Filed under: Pongo abelii (Sumatran orangutan)
Lineage: Eukaryota; Metazoa; Chordata; Mammalia; Primates; Hominidae
Source: RNAcentral